Long non-coding RNA from Panicum hallii, 234 nucleotides. RefSeq lists it as uncharacterized. The record is from RefSeq and is a predicted model, not a curated record. Lineage: Eukaryota; Viridiplantae; Streptophyta; Magnoliopsida; Poales; Poaceae. The transcript has 3 exons.
ACCGUUUGAAGCACGUUGGAGCCCUCGUGAAUGGACUCGCAUACUUGAGCCGGUAUAAUUCAGUAUAUGAAGAAUGGGCAUCUCCAAUGAUCCUUGUGCCGAGGCAUCAUCUCUUCCUCAUGUCGUGCUUCUUCAUGCUGUCGAUUCUUGCGCUCACACGAUCGUUGCAACAUGUAGAGGAUCCGCAAGAGCAAGGCUUUGAAGACGCUCCUGAGCAGCAGCAGUGCUUUGAGG